GACGAACGCUGGCGGCGUGCUUAACACAUGCAAGUCGAGCGGAAAGGCCCUUCGGGGUACUCGAGCGGCGAACGGGUGAGUAACACGUGAGUAACCUGCCCCAGACUUUGGGAUAACCCUCGGAAACGGGGGCUAAUACCGGAUACGACACAGCUUCGCAUGGGGUCUGUGUGGAAAGUUUUUCGGUUUGGGAUGGGCUCGCGGCCUACCAGCUUGUUGGUGGGGUGAUGGCCUACCAAGGCGACGACGGGUAGCCGGCCUGAGAGGGCGACCGGCCACACUGGGACUGAGACACGGCCCAGACUCCUACGGGAGGCAGCAGUGGGGAAUAUUGCACAAUGGGCGGAAGCCUGAUGCAGCGACGCCGCGUGAGGGAUGACGGCCUUCGGGUUGUAAACCUCUUUCAGCAGGGACGAAGCGUAAGUGACGGUACCUGCAGAAGAAGCGCCGGCCAACUACGUG
Molecule: ribosomal RNA, 462 nt
Filed under: uncultured bacterium
Lineage: Bacteria
Description: partial 16S ribosomal RNA
Rfam family: Bacterial small subunit ribosomal RNA
Source: RNAcentral